Galeopterus variegatus (Sunda flying lemur) is the source of this 1423-nucleotide long non-coding RNA. RefSeq lists it as uncharacterized. NCBI's taxonomy places the organism in Eukaryota, Metazoa, Chordata, Mammalia, Dermoptera, Cynocephalidae. The transcript has 2 exons. The record is from RefSeq and is a predicted model, not a curated record.
AGAAAAUCUCUAAUAAUUUAUUGACCUUCAGUUUCACAUUGUGAAAAAAAAAAUAACAGUUUUACGAAACCUCAAAAAUGUAGUAGUAGCAAACAAGUACAUACGAACAUGAACAUUUUACUUCUUCAACUUAUACAGUUUUGUACGUGAACGACAUAUUAAAUAGUCAAGACAGGGAUAUUAUGCAGCUCUAAUCACUUAUUCAGACAGGUGUCAAGCCCAGAGAAAAGGGGCUGCACAAUUAUACCAGAAGUGGAAGGCUGCCCUUUGUUAUCCGUUUCUACAGCAACCAGUCCACAAAAUAAGAAGAACCUUCUCUGUCUUAUGCCAAGGUUUUUUGUGUGUACUAUGCUGUGAAUUGUAUUUGCUUCAAAGUGUGGGACGUUUCACAGGGUGAGAAUGGUCAAGUAGUGAGCCCAAAUGCCUACAUGGAUUCAAAGAGUGGGAGUCCAGAAAGUUCCCUGCAGGCUGGGGGCCCACCCUUACCGCAGCUCCCUCUGGCUCACACACAGUAAUUAAUAGAGGAUUCAAGGACAGACCACAACUUUGAAACAGCUGCAGGAAAUUCAUCCUGCUCUCAGAAGCCAGCGUCUCUGGGCAGAUUUGCAUCAUAAACUAUAGAGCUGUAACUGCUACAAUAUAAGGACACCAACUAUGCUGCCAGGGUACAAUUAGACAUUUGCCUUGCUUAGAACACAUGUAGGAACCGGGGACUGACUGCUGGAAAGUAUUGUGAUUCUUUUAUUCCAACAGCUCAUUUAUUUUGGUCCAACUAUAGCCCACUUACUCAUGGCAAGGACGGACAUGUACAAUUAGUCUAAAGUACUAAGGUAGAGAGAAAUGUUAAGGAUUUAUCUGUCAUCAGACAAUGCAAACACACUCACGAUGUAAAAGGUUAUUAUCAGCCUUAAAUCCUAUUUUCUAAAAUACAGCAAUGUGAGAAACAUCAACAAAAGCAGUUUGAGUUGCAAACUUUGGUCUUCCCCAGACACCUCUGAGGAAGCACCUAUUUGAGUCUAGCACUAAUACCUACCACAGCACGUUUAGUAAACAAGCAUUCAAACUAGCAAAGAAUGUAUUCACAACUGAUUCCCAACUAUACUGGGAAAAACUCUCGACGGGGGCCACUGCUUACACAAUUCUUUGGUGUACUGUGGCCAAAUGUGUCAGUUUUGUGCACCAAAGAGUUCUGUUAGAGAUUUACCUAAGAGUGAGCACUAAAGUAUACAUUGUACCAAUAUAACUACUGUCUUGGGGAACUUCUAGCACUUGCUAAAUUGUACAGCAAGAACAGAGAACAACAACGAGUCCAGGUCAAGCAAAUUUGGUCAGUGAAUUAAUUUACAACUGUAAUAUUUCAGUUGUUCCCAUUAACUGUGGUUAUGGCAAAGCAAUCUCAUAGGAUAAUAAAUAGAUAAAUAAA